GAACUGUGAGAAAUAAAAACUGUAAGACCUACGAGAGGAGAUUUAAACUGGAUUUCAACUAAGGACCAGAGGAGGACACUGAAAGGAAAACAGAUGUGGACAGGGCAUAUGGAGUGUGAGUCUGCAGAUUAUUUUUUUUUUGAUACACAGUGUUUUUUGAAAGAGAAACAUACUAUGGGUAUUUAGACAGGGAACUUUAAGUCAGUCAAGAGCUCAAACUACAAUUCAGGCUUUCUUGAAGUUUAAUUUAUUUUUCUCCAAAUAUUUGGGUAUUACAAUAAACACUGUUAAACUGUCAGACUGACUGUGCUGUGGGCCAGGCCACACCUAUAUAGGUGCCCAUCUGAUGUCUGUGCCCCCUGUGGCAUCACAGCACGUACAGAUGAAAGCAGGAAGCCGGGUUUUUCAAUGGUCUGUUCUGUUCUCUCUUCAGGCUUUUCUUCAAUACAUGUGGGGGCACUGGUCUUGGCCUUUUCUUUACCAGUACUUUUGAUUCUAAUGUUGAUUGGCUACUGUUUUGAUAAAGAUGAGCUUGUUAGGACCUUCCUCAUUGCUUCUAAUGUCGUAUUGUCUAUUUCAUUUGUCCUCUGGGGUGUAACUGAAGGGUCUUUGGAAGAAGUGAUCAUGUGUGUGACUGUUAAUCUUCUGAGGAUUGUACCAGUUCUGGCUUUUUUCAAUGUGGAGAAAUCAGUUUUCAUCGGUUUCUCAAUAAUUCGUUUUGUUGUGUUAACUGAGAUGUGGUCUGUUGCUCUGUGGGAGUACUUCAAGAGCCACACACCAGACACAGGUGUUAGAGCAGGUAUUGGACUGGCCUGUGCCUCAUCACUGCUCUCCUCUCUCUGCGGGGUUUAUAUUGAAGGUAAGAACAGCUGCUUUCUCAGAUCCAGGAGAGAGAGAUUCGGUGUGAAGAGCUCAGAUCUAGCCUCUCUCCUUGCUAGGUUUCAGUUCUGGAACACAUGGAGCGAUGUGAUGGAGAUACAGUAGAGAAAGAAUCCCAGACUGCACUGGGAGGGAUGAGAACAGACUCUCCCAAUCUCUCUCCGACAGACACUCGAUAAGAACAAGGAGUUUUCUA
This 1075-nucleotide long non-coding RNA is filed under the name Lepisosteus oculatus (spotted gar). RNAcentral's name for it is "lncRNA (ENSLOCG00000022846.1)". Lineage: Eukaryota; Metazoa; Chordata; Actinopteri; Semionotiformes; Lepisosteidae. The record is from RNAcentral.